CCGUGUGAACUUCUUUAAAAGAUAUGUUUUCAUAACCACCAAAAUGUGUCAAGUAACAAAUAAAAUUUAGAUGAAAAAUGUCAUUCUAAACUAAAUAACUAUAAUAAACCCAAUACCUGAAGGGAUAUGGGGUGAAUGACUAUACUUUACCAUCGUUCUUGGUUGUUCCAAACCAAACAAAAUAAAAGCAAGCAUAAACAUAAAUACGAAAAUAUGGAAAAUGUUAGUCAAAAAUAGCAACACAUAUAAGUAUAUAAAGCACAUGAAGCUUUGAAGCGAGAAGGAAGCAUUGGACACUAU
RNAcentral lists this long non-coding RNA (300 nucleotides) under Solanum tuberosum (potato). RNAcentral describes it as "long non-coding RNA (STUB_LNC005606)". The record is from RNAcentral. Lineage: Eukaryota; Viridiplantae; Streptophyta; Magnoliopsida; Solanales; Solanaceae.